This 501-nucleotide ribosomal RNA is filed under the name Fragilariopsis sp. RCC5515. Its description in RNAcentral is "SSU rRNA". It matches the Rfam family "Eukaryotic small subunit ribosomal RNA", at positions 628 to 1131 of the family's 1831-position model. The record is from RNAcentral. Lineage: Eukaryota; Bacillariophyta; Bacillariophyceae; Bacillariales; Bacillariaceae.
UCGUAGUUGGAUUUGUGGUGUGUCCAGUUGGCCUUUGCUCUUUGAGUGAUAGUGCUUUACUGGUCUGCCAUGUUUGGGUGGAAUCUGUGUGGCAUUAAGUUGUCGUGCAGGGGAUGCCCAUCGUUUACUGUGAAAAAAUUAGAGUGUUCAAAGCAGGCUUAUGCCUCUGAAUAUAUUAGCAUGGAAUAAUGAUAUAGGACCUUGGUACUAUUUUGUUGGUUUGCGCACUGAGGUAAUGAUUAAGAGGGACAGUUGGGGGUAUUUGUAUUCCAUUGUCAGAGGUGAAAUUCUUGGAUUUUUGGAAGACAAACUACUGCGAAAGCAUUUACCAAGGAUGUUUUCAUUAAUCAAGAACGAAAGUUAGGGGAUCGAAGAUGAUUAGAUACCAUCGUAGUCUUAACCAUAAACUAUGCCGACAAGGGAUUGGUGGAGUUUCGUUUCGUCUCCAUCAGCACCUUGUGAGAAAUCAUAAGUCUUUGGGUUCCGGGGGGAGUAUGGUCG